Molecule: ribosomal RNA, 447 nt
Filed under: uncultured Rhodoferax sp.
Lineage: Bacteria; Pseudomonadati; Pseudomonadota; Betaproteobacteria; Burkholderiales; Comamonadaceae
Description: bacterial SSU rRNA
Rfam family: Bacterial small subunit ribosomal RNA
Source: RNAcentral
UGGAUGAUGUGGUUUAAUUCGAUGCAACGCGAAAACCUUACCCACCUUUGACAUGUACGGAACCUUUAGAGAUAGAGGGGUGCUCGAAAGAGAGCCGUAACACAGGUGCUGCAUGGCUGUCGUCAGCUCGUGUCGUGAGAUGUUGGGUUAAGUCCCGCAACGAGCGCAACCCUUGUCAUUAGUUGCUACAUUCAGUUGGGCACUCUAAUGAGACUGCCGGUGACAAGCCGGAGGAAGGUGGGGAUGACGUCAAGUCCUCAUGGCCCUUAUAGGUGGGGCUACACACGUCAUACAAUGGCUGGUACAAAGGGUUGCCAACCCGCGAGGGGGAGCUAAUCCCAUAAAGCCAGUCGUAGUCCGGAUCGUAGUCUGCAACUCGACUACGUGAAGUCGGAAUCGCUAGUAAUCGUGGAUCAGAAUGUCACGGUGAAUACGUUCCCGGGUCUU